CUACAAAGAUGCCAGCUGCAGUGGGGGAGACUUGGCUAAGGCUGUGCACUCUGUGGAGCCAGCAGGAGCUGGAAACAG
This is a microRNA precursor of Chlorocebus sabaeus (green monkey), 78 nucleotides long. Lineage: Eukaryota; Metazoa; Chordata; Mammalia; Primates; Cercopithecidae. The record is from Ensembl.